This 610-nucleotide ribosomal RNA is filed under the name uncultured Bradyrhizobium sp. Its description in RNAcentral is "bacterial SSU rRNA". It matches the Rfam family "Bacterial small subunit ribosomal RNA", at positions 1 to 637 of the family's 1533-position model. The record is from RNAcentral. Lineage: Bacteria; Pseudomonadati; Pseudomonadota; Alphaproteobacteria; Hyphomicrobiales; Nitrobacteraceae.
GGUACGCGCGGAUCUUCCAGAGAUUAGAGUUUGAUCCUGGCUCAGAGCGAACGCUGGCGGCAGGCUUAACACAUGCAAGUCGAGCGGGCGUAGCAAUACGUCAGCGGCAGACGGGUGAGUAACGCGUGGGAACGUACCUUUUGGUUCGGGAUAACCCAGGGAAACUUGGGCUAAUACCGGAUAAGCCCUUACGGGGAAAGAUUUAUCGCCGAAAGAUCGGCCCGCGUCUGAUUAGCUAGUUGGUGAGGUAAUGGCUCACCAAGGCGACGAUCAGUAGCUGGUCUGAGAGGAUGAUCAGCCACAUUGGGACUGAGACACGGCCCAAACUCCUACGGGAGGCAGCAGUGGGGAAUAUUGGACAAUGGGCGCAAGCCUGAUCCAGCCAUGCCGCGUGAGUGAUGAAGGCCCUAGGGUUGUAAAGCUCUUUUGUGCGGGAAGAUAAUGACGGUACCGCAAGAAUAAGCCCCGGCUAACUUCGUGCCAGCAGCCGCGGUAAUACGAAGGGGGCUAGCGUUGCUCGGAAUCACUGGGCGUAAAGGGUGCGUAGGCGGAUCUUUAAGUCAGGGGUGAAAUCCUGGAGCUCAACUCCAGAACUGCCUUUGAUACUGAG